Molecule: ribosomal RNA, 468 nt
Filed under: uncultured bacterium
Lineage: Bacteria
Description: partial 16S ribosomal RNA
Rfam family: Bacterial small subunit ribosomal RNA
Source: RNAcentral
GACGAACGCUGGCGGCGUGCUUAACACAUGCAAGUCGAACGGAAAGGCCCUGCUUUUGUGGGGUGCUCGAGUGGCGAACGGGUGAGUAACACGUGAGUAACCUGCCCUUGACUUUGGGAUAACUUCAGGAAACUGGGGCUAAUACCGGAUAGGAGCUCCUGCUGCAUGGUGGGGGUUGGAAAGUUUCGGCGGUUGGGGAUGGACUCGCGGCUUAUCAGCUUGUUGGUGGGGUAGUGGCUUACCAAGGCUUUGACGGGUAGCCGGCCUGAGAGGGUGACCGGCCACAUGGGGACUGAGAUACGGCCCAGACUCCUACGGGAGGCAGCAGUGGGGAAUAUUGCACAAUGGGCGGAAGCCUGAUGCAGCAACGCCGCGUGCGGGAUGACGUCCUUCGGGUUGUAAACCGCUUUCGCCUGUGACGAAGCGUGAGUGACGGUAAUGGGUAAAGAAGCACCGGCUAACUACGUG